GAUGAACGCUAGCGGCAGGCCUAAUACAUGCAAGUCGGACGGGAUUGAGAAGCUUGCUUUUCAUGAGAGUGGCGCACGGGUGCGUAACACGUAUGUAACCUACCUUAAUCAGGGGGAUAGCCUCUCGAAAGAGAGAUUAACACCGCAUAAAAUCAAUUUAUGGCAUCAUAGAAUGAUCAAAUAUUUAUAGGAUUAAGAUGGGCAUGCGGAACAUUAGCUAGUUGGUAAGGUAACGGCUUACAAAGGCUACGAUGUUUAGGGGAUCUGAGAGGAUGACCCCCCACACUGGUACUGAGACACGGACCAGACUCCUACGGGAGGCAGCAGUAAGGAAUAUUGGUCAAUGGGCGCAAGCCUGAACCAGCCAUGCCGCGUGCAGGAAGACGGCCCUACGGGUUGUAAACUGCUUUUGUACCGGAUUAAACCUUUGUAUGUAUACGAAGCUGAAUGUACGGUAAGAAUAAGGAUCGGCUAACUCCGUGCCAGCAGCCGCCGUAA
Molecule: ribosomal RNA, 498 nt
Filed under: uncultured bacterium
Lineage: Bacteria
Description: partial 16S ribosomal RNA
Rfam family: Bacterial small subunit ribosomal RNA
Source: RNAcentral